Molecule: long non-coding RNA, 605 nt
Filed under: Phoenix dactylifera (date palm)
Lineage: Eukaryota; Viridiplantae; Streptophyta; Magnoliopsida; Arecales; Arecaceae
Description: long non-coding RNA (PDAC_LNC014449)
Source: RNAcentral
CGGCAGCCGUUCCUCUACCCUUAUCUCUUCGCUGGUGAAGCUAUAAAAGGGGGUUGAGACGGAUCCCAUGGCAUAUCAUCUCCUCACAGGCCGAGUACCAGAGAAAUAAAAAAAUAAGGAGGAGAGAAAGGGAGGAAGGAAUCAGAAAAGAGAAGAAAGGGAUGGGAGCCCGCUGCUGUGCUGCUGCUGCCGUCUCCAGCUUCAUGGAAGGCUGAACUCCUCUCUAGGGCUGGAUGCAGCCCUAACACAGGGAUAAGGGUUUUAUAUUUUAUUUAUAUUCUUGGAGUUGUAUGAACUUAUUGUUUAUAAUGGAUAUCUUCUUUUGAAUCAUAUUUAAUUUCUGUGAUUUUAAGUAUGAUGUUCGUACAACUGUUCUUCAUGAUCACUCAGUAAAUAUAAGAUAGUCCAUGCUUAGGGAAGAUGCGAUGUGCUACCAUCUUAGAUUAGGGUAGACAUUUCAUGCCAACCGAAGAUGGAUUAUGCCCAAAUUACUUUUGUGAAUUUUUAUUUAAAUGCUUAUUAGGCUUGUAGCCAAUUUGCAUGUUUAUCCAAGAAUAAAUUAAAAUAUAAAUAACCCUUGUUCCGAUGUUAGUGGUGAAUUCCUU